UACGUAGGUGGCAAGCGUUGUCCGGAAUUAUUGGGCGUAAAGCGCGCGCAGGUGGUUCCUUAAGUCUGAUGUGAAAGCCCACGGCCCAACCGUGGAGGGUCAUUGGAAACUGGGGAACUUGAGUGCAGAAGAGGAAAGUGGAAUUCCACAUGUAGUGGUGAAAUGCGUAGAGAUGUGGAGGAACACCAGUGGCGAAGGCGACUUUCUGGUCUGUAACUGACACUGAGGUGCGAAAGCGUGGGUAGCAAACAGG
This 253-nucleotide unclassified non-coding RNA is filed under the name uncultured Bacillaceae bacterium. RNAcentral describes it as "contains 16S-23S intergenic spacer region". It matches the Rfam family "Bacterial small subunit ribosomal RNA", at positions 524 to 776 of the family's 1533-position model. The record is from RNAcentral. Lineage: Bacteria; Bacillati; Bacillota; Bacilli; Caryophanales; Bacillaceae.